This 72-nucleotide transfer RNA is filed under the name Bythites fuscus (Arctic brotula). Its description in RNAcentral is "tRNA-Asp". It matches the Rfam family "tRNA". From Rfam's summary of the family: Transfer RNA (tRNA) molecules are approximately 80 nucleotides in length. Their secondary structure includes four short double-helical elements and three loops (D, anti-codon, and T loops). Further hydrogen bonds mediate the characteristic L-shaped molecular structure. tRNAs have two regions of fundamental functional importance: the anti-codon, which is responsible for specific mRNA codon recognition, and the 3' end, to which the tRNAs corresponding amino acid is attached (by aminoacyl-tRNA synthetases). tRNAs cope with the degeneracy of the genetic code in two manners: having more than one tRNA (with a specific anti-codon) for a particular amino acid; and 'wobble' base-pairing, i.e. permitting non-standard base-pairing at the 3rd anti-codon position. The record is from RNAcentral. Lineage: Eukaryota; Metazoa; Chordata; Actinopteri; Ophidiiformes; Bythitidae.
AAGACACUAGUAAAGAGAAUAUAACACUGCCUUGUCAAGGCAGAAUCGUGGGCUAAGCCCCCGCGUGUCUUA